RNAcentral lists this ribosomal RNA (243 nucleotides) under uncultured bacterium. RNAcentral describes it as "partial 16S ribosomal RNA". It matches the Rfam family "Bacterial small subunit ribosomal RNA", at positions 118 to 345 of the family's 1533-position model. The record is from RNAcentral.
UGGGUAACCUGCCUCAAAGAGGGGAAUAGCCUCCCGAAAGGGGAGAUUAAUACCGCAUAAUAUGUUUAAGUCGCAUGACUUUAACAUCAAAGAAUUUUUCUUUUAGAAAUUCCACUUUGAGAUGGACCCGCGGCGCAUUAGCUAGUUGGUGAGGUAACGGCUCACCAAGGCAACGAUGCGUAGCCGACCUGAGAGGGUGAUCCGGCCACAUUGGAACUGAGACNCGGUCCAGACUCCGUAGGG